UGGGGAAUCUUGCACAAUGGGGGCAACCCUGAUGCAGCGACGCCGCGUGAGCGAUGAAGGUUUUCGAAUCGUAAAGCUCUGUCCUAUGGGAAGAUAAUGGCGGUACCAUAGGAGGAAGCCCCGGCUAACUACGUGCCAGCAGCCGCGGUAAUACGUAGGGGGCGAGCGUUGUCCGGAAUUACUGGGCGUAAAGGGUUCGCAGGCGGCAUGGCAAGUCCGAUGUAAAAGGCGAAGGCUCAACCUUCGUAAGCAUCGGAAACUGUCAAGCUUGAGUGAAGGAGAGGCAAGUGGAAUUCCUAGUGUAGCGGUGGAAUGCGUAGAUAUUAGGAGGAAUACCGGUGGCGAAGGCGACUUGCUGGACUUCAACUGACGCUGAGGAACGAAAGCGUGGGUAGCAAACAGG
Molecule: ribosomal RNA, 403 nt
Filed under: Verrucomicrobiota bacterium
Lineage: Bacteria; Pseudomonadati; Verrucomicrobiota
Description: Verrucomicrobia bacterium partial 16S ribosomal RNA
Rfam family: Bacterial small subunit ribosomal RNA
Source: RNAcentral